This 253-nucleotide ribosomal RNA is filed under the name uncultured bacterium. Its description in RNAcentral is "partial 16S ribosomal RNA". It matches the Rfam family "Bacterial small subunit ribosomal RNA", at positions 524 to 776 of the family's 1533-position model. The record is from RNAcentral. RNAcentral also lists the same sequence under 1 other name.
UACGUAGGGUGCAGGCGUUAAUCGGAAUUACUGGGCGUAAAGCGUGCGCAGGCGGUUUGCUAAGACAGGUGUGAAAUCCCCGAGCUUAACUUGGGAACUGCGCUUGUAACUGGCAAGCUAGAGUGUGGCAGAGGGGGGUGGAAUUCCACGUGUAGCAGUGAAAUGCGUAGAGAUGUGGAGGAACACCGAUGGCGAAGGCAGCCCCCUGGGCUAACACUGACGCUCAUGCACGAAAGCGUGGGGAGCAAACAGG